Non-coding RNA from Salmo salar (Atlantic salmon), 58 nucleotides. The record is from Rfam. NCBI's taxonomy places the organism in Eukaryota, Metazoa, Chordata, Actinopteri, Salmoniformes, Salmonidae.
UAGCUCAGUAGGUAGAGCAUGGUGUUUGCAACGCCAGGGUUGUGGGUUCGAUUCCCAC